AUACGGAGGGUGCAAACGUUGUUCGGAAUUACUGGGCAUAAAGAGCUCGUAGGCGGCUGUGCAAGUGUGGAGUGAAAUCCCACGGCUUACCCGUGGAACUGCUUUGCAGACUGCACGGCUAGAGGAUGGUAGGGGAGAGCGGAACUCCUGGUGGAGCGGUGAAAUGCGUAGAUAUCAGGAGGAACACCGGUGGCGAAGGCGGCUCUCUGGUCCAUUUCUGACGCUGAGGAGCGAAAGCCAGGGUAGCGAACGGGAUUAGAAACCCCAGUAGUCC
This 274-nucleotide ribosomal RNA is filed under the name uncultured bacterium. RNAcentral's name for it is "partial 16S ribosomal RNA". It matches the Rfam family "Bacterial small subunit ribosomal RNA", at positions 523 to 796 of the family's 1533-position model. The record is from RNAcentral.